This 451-nucleotide ribosomal RNA is filed under the name uncultured bacterium. RNAcentral describes it as "partial 16S ribosomal RNA". It matches the Rfam family "Bacterial small subunit ribosomal RNA", at positions 29 to 523 of the family's 1533-position model. The record is from RNAcentral.
AACGAACGCUGGCGGCAGGCCCAACACAUGCAAGCCGAACGGAUGUAGCAAUACAUUAGUGGCGCACGGGUGCGUAACACGUGGGAAUGUACCCCAGGGUAAGGAAUAAUGUCUGGAAACGGACACUAAUACCUUAUAAUGACUUUGGUCCAAAGAUUUAUCGCCCUGGGAUCAGCCCGCGACUGAUUAGCUAGUUGGUGAGGUAAUGGCUCACCAAGGCUACGAUCAGUAGCUGGUCUGUGAGGAUGAUCAGCCACACUGGAACUGAGACACGGUCCAGACUCCUACGGGAGGCAUCAGUGAGGAAUAUUGCACAAUGGAGGAAACUCUGAUGCAGCCAGGCCGCGUGAGUGAAGAAGGCCUUCGGGUUGUAAAGCUCUUUUAGUCGUGAAAAUAAUGACGGUAGCGACAGAAAAAGCCCCGGCUAAAUUCGUGCCAGCCGCCGCGGUAA